UACGAGUGCCCCAAGCGUUAUCCGGAUUUAUUGGGUGUAAAGGGUCUGUAGGCGGCUUAGCAAGUCGGGGGUUAAAUCCUGGAGCUCAACUCCAGAACUGCUUUCGAAACUGCUAAGCUUGAGAUCGGGAGAGGUAGAUGGAAUUGCCGGUGUAGGGGUAAAAUCCGUUAAUAUCGGCAAGAACACCAAAUGCGAAGGCUUUCUACUAGAACGAAUCUGACGCUGAGAGACGAAAGCGUGGGGAGCGAAUGGG
This 253-nucleotide ribosomal RNA is filed under the name uncultured bacterium. Its description in RNAcentral is "partial 16S ribosomal RNA". It matches the Rfam family "Bacterial small subunit ribosomal RNA", at positions 524 to 776 of the family's 1533-position model. The record is from RNAcentral.